Molecule: long non-coding RNA, 2762 nt
Filed under: Sus scrofa (pig)
Lineage: Eukaryota; Metazoa; Chordata; Mammalia; Artiodactyla; Suidae
Description: lncRNA (ENSSSCG00035013675.1)
Source: RNAcentral
CUUUCCCCAUGCUUGGAGAUCCCACGAACGCCAGGGAAGCCUCCGUCUGCAUUCAUCCCUGAGCAAAAUUGAAAGGCAAGACCAAGGAGCAGUGUUUCCAGGGGCGAGUUGGGAGGCAAAAAGAAAGAAGUACCUCUCGCGGGUUCCAACUUGCAGCGAGCAUCGCGGUCUUCGCAGCAGGUACGCAGAAGCAGGCUGGGGAGCAGAGGGCCGCUGGACCCCUUGCUUCGAAAAAUCCUUGCUGAAGUUAAAAAUCAAGAUGAACCAGACAAACUGCAGACCCAGUUAUUGCAGGAGCCAGUGUGGCCACAAGUUCCAGUCGCUCUUCUCUUGUUUUCUCCAUGCAUUCUUCUGUUCAUCUGUCUCCUUUCCCUGCCUGGCAGCCCUCUUGCUGCCUUUCCGACGAACUGUCAUUACCUCCUCUCUGACAAUGUCUAACUGACAUUGCCCUCCUCUCUGUUCCUGCUCCCCUCUUCCUCUCUUCUGUUUUCUCUCUCCCCCUACUCUCUCUGUCUCCGACCUUCCUCCACUUCUCCCUCCCUCUCCUCCCUUCCUGAACCCUGCAUCUCCACCCAUCUCCUUUUUUCUAUCUCAGUCCCCCCUCAUUCUCUAAUUCACCUUUCUUCUUUCCUCCUUCUCUCCAUCCCUUCAGUAUGGUUGCCGCUAUUAUAUGGCUGCAUCUCUUUAAAUCACGCUUAACCUACCAAUCACUGAUGGCACUCAAUGCGUCAAUAAGGGAAUUUGCUGAAAGUCUUUGCUUUAUUAUUAGUGGUUUAACUAGCACCCUUUGUAUGCCCCGAGAUAGGUUCAUCCCUUAAAAUUUCACAAAACUGAAGCAUCUGCACUCUCCUCUACUUAUAGAAAUGUAUCUCAUUCUCAGUGUGUAUACAUCACACUUCGUGAAAGCAGACAUUUCAUAAUCUUUGGCCACACUGAGGCUCCCAAGGCAGUACAGAAAUCCAGGUGUCCUCAAGUUAGGAAAUAUCAAUCUGGUCCACAGAUACUACCUUCAUGGUGGGCAAUGGUGUGAAAAUGCCUGUGUGAACUGACUGUUUUCUUUUUGGAAAGUCAGUUUAGGGGCCUCCUCUCUUCGGAAUUUGCCAGUGGAAAAGAAAAAGGAUGAUCCAGAGAUUUUAUUUUAUUUUUAAAAUUUUUAUUAGUGGGAGUUCCCGUCGUGGCGCAGUGGUUAACGAAUCUGACUAGGAACCAUGAGGUUUCGGGUUCGGUCCCUGCCCUUGCUCAGUGGGUUAACGAUCCGGCAUUGCUGUGAGCUGUGGUGUAGGUUGCAGAUGCGGCUCGGAUCCCGCAUUGCUGUGGCUCUGGCGUAGGCUGGUGGCUGCAGCUCCGAUUCGACCCCUAGCCUGGGAACCUCCAUAUGCUGCGGGAGUGGCCCAAGAAAUAGCAAAAAAAAAAAAAAAAAGACAAAAAAAAUUUUAUUAGUGAAUAGUUGAUUUACAAUGUUGUGCCAAUUUCUCCUGUAUAGCAAAGUGACUCAGUCAUGCAUAUAUAUAUAUAUAUAUUUCUUUCCUUAUGUUAUUGUCCAUCAUGGUCUAUCCCAAGAGUCUCAUCCAGAGAUUUUACAUGGGAGCUUCUAUUCAUCGAUACACUCUGGGUUAGACAUUGAUAUGUAAGCCUCAUACAGAUGAUCUUAUUUAACCCUCCCAAUUAUCCCAUGAAUAGAUAUACUUAUCAUUUCCAUGUUAAGGAAGAGUAAACCAAGACUUGGGAGGGUUAGCCCAAGGUUAGACAAUUGGGGGAUGACAGAAAAAAAGAUGGUCACACUUGCCAGUGAGACCAAGCACAUCUGAAGUAGUAUUUAAAUUGAGUCUAACAGCUCUCCCUGUGAAACCUACACCUAAGGGUCUAUACAACUUAGCUGUAUUCUUCUCUUGGGUGGAACCACCUUGUCUUUCCAGGAUUCAGGUUUUCUUUCUUUCUUUCUUUUUCUUUUGUUUUUAAGGGCCACACCCAUGGCGUAUGGGCAUAACCCCAGGCUAGCAAUUCAAUUGGAGCUUCAGCUACUGGCCUACACUACAGACAGAGCCAUGUGGGAAUGUGAGCUGUGUCUGUGACCUACACCACAGGUCACCACAACUCUGAAUCCUUAACCCACUGAGUGAGGCCAGGGAUCAAACGCACAUCCUCCUGGAUCUUAGUUGUGCUCAUUACCACUGACUCACAAUGGGAAUUCUGGAUUGAGUUUUUCAAUGGUGACAUGGAGCAAAGAGAGUUUAUCUUAUCCCACAAGAGCAUGGACUGCUAGCUGUUGGCUCAUGGCCUGUGCUUUCUAGAAGUUCCUUCCUUUGGCUACAGAAGACCCACAAGUGCAUUCAGACACACAGAUCAUAGCUGAUUGGGCCAACAACUAAAGAACUCUUGGAAAUAGCACACCCAAAAACACUGACCCAGAGACUGAAUCUUUCUCCUAUCUUGUGUGUGUGUGUGUGUGUGUGUGUGGGUGUGGGUGGGUGUGUGUGUGGGUGUGGGUGUGUGUGUGUGUAUGUGUGAGAGAGAGACAGAGACAGUGACAGAGAAACAGAGAUAUACACAGAGAACAAAUCAUGUAUCAUUUACUGAACGAUAUGUUCUAAGAACCCUGCUAGGGAUUUUUUUUAAUGGCCACACCCUCAGCAUAUGAAAGUUCCUGGGCCAGGAAUUGAAUCUGAGCCACAGCUGGGGCCUAAACCCCAGCUGUGGCAAUGCUGGACCUUUUAACUUAUUGCACUGGGCUGGGGAUCAAACCUGCACCUCUGCUGCAAUAU